RNAcentral lists this ribosomal RNA (768 nucleotides) under uncultured Hyphomicrobiales bacterium. RNAcentral's name for it is "bacterial SSU rRNA". It matches the Rfam family "Bacterial small subunit ribosomal RNA", at positions 61 to 874 of the family's 1533-position model. Lineage: Bacteria; Pseudomonadati; Pseudomonadota; Alphaproteobacteria; Hyphomicrobiales. The record is from RNAcentral.
GUCGAGCGCACAGGUUUACCUGUGAGCGGCAGACGGGUGAGUGACGCGUGGGAAUCUACCUUAAGCUGCGGGAUAACAGAGAGAAAUUUCUGCUAAUACCGCAUGUGCCCGGAAGGGGAAAGAUUUAUCGGCUUAAGAUGAGCCCGCGUUGGAUUAGCUAGUUGGUGGGGUAAAGGCCUACCAAGGCGUCGAUCCAUAGCUGGUCUGAGAGGAUGAUCAGCCACACUGGGACUGAGACACGGCCCAGACUCCUACGGGAGGCAGCAGUGGGGAAUAUUGGACAAUGGGCGCAAGCCUGAUCCAGCCAUGCCGCGUGAGUGAUGGAGGCCUUAGGGUUGUAAAGCUCUUUCACCGGGGAAGAUAAUGACGGUACCCGGAGAAGAAGCCCCGGCUAACUUCGUGCCAGCAGCCGCGGUAAUACGAAGGGGGCUAGCGUUGUUCGGAAUUACUGGGCGUAAAGAGCGCGUAGGCGGAAAAGUAAGUCAGGGGUGAAAUCCCGGGGCUCAACCCCGGAAUUGCCUUUGAUACUGUUUUUCUUGAGUGCAGAAGAGGUAAGUGGAAUUCCGAGUGUAGAGGUGAAAUUCGUAGAUAUUCGGAAGAACACCGGUGGCGAAGGCGGCUUACUGGUCUGCAACUGACGCUGAGGCGCGAAAGCGUGGGGAGCAGACAGGAUUAGAUACCCUGGUAGUCCACGCUGUAAACGAUGGAAGCCAGCUAUUGGGCAGUUUACUGCUCGGCAGCGCAGCUAACGCAUUAAGCUUCCCGCCU